Molecule: ribosomal RNA, 747 nt
Filed under: Triticum aestivum (bread wheat)
Lineage: Eukaryota; Viridiplantae; Streptophyta; Magnoliopsida; Poales; Poaceae
Description: partial small subunit ribosomal RNA
Source: RNAcentral
GAACAGCCAUGGUGAUUCACUUGUAUGUACGGACCGCAAGACGAUUGUGACAAAGUGGAAUUCAUGCAGGAUUUGGUGGACAUUUGGGACCUGCACGUUGGGCCAUGGCUUGUGGCUGGGGACUUCAACCUCCUCGCCAAGUAGGAGGACAAGAGUGACGCCUUGGUUAAUAGAAGGACGUUAGCGAGGUUCGGGGCCAAGUUGAGCCUACUGGAGUUGGAAGAGCUAUACCUCAAUGGGAGACGAUACACGUGGUCCAAUGAAAGGUGGAAUGCGACUCUGGAAAAGAUUGAUCAUGUCUUUGUUUUGAAUGAGUGGGACGAGGCAUACCCCUCUUGUGUCCUCUCGGCUCUUGGCACUGCGGUCUCGGACCACUGCCUGUUGAUGCUUGACUUAAAUGUGGGUAUUAGUACGAGGAAACAUUUCAAGUUUGAAGCUUUUUGGUGCAAAGCCGAAGGUUUUAUGGACGUUCUCCAAAUGGCGUGGACGUCGACGCCGGUAGCCUCCAAUGUAUAUCUCACCCUGCACAACAAACUUAGAGCCAUGACUGUUAGCCUCCAAAGGUGGAGUGAUCGUUGGAUUGGUAACGUGAAACUGCAAAUUACUAUUGCUAUGGAGGUGAUCAAGCAACUUGAUACUGCCAUGGAAUUGAGGGAGCUCUGUGACGCGGAAAAGGGCUUGAGGAGGUGUUUGGAGAAAAAGCUACUAGGGUUGUGCUCCCUUGAAAGAACAAUUGCGAGGCAAUGA